Molecule: transfer RNA, 76 nt
Filed under: Colletotrichum fructicola Nara gc5
Lineage: Eukaryota; Fungi; Ascomycota; Sordariomycetes; Glomerellales; Glomerellaceae
Description: tRNA-Arg for anticodon ACG
Rfam family: tRNA
About the family: Transfer RNA (tRNA) molecules are approximately 80 nucleotides in length. Their secondary structure includes four short double-helical elements and three loops (D, anti-codon, and T loops).
Source: RNAcentral
GGCCGGUUGGCCCAAUGGCAAGGCGUCUGACUACGAUGCAAUCAGGAGAUUCUGGGUUCGACCCCCAGGCUGGUCA